UACGAAGGGGGCUAGCGUCGUUCGGAAUUACUGGGCGUAAAGCGCACGUAGGCGGAUAUUUAAGUCAGGGGUGAAAUCCCAGAGCUCAACUCUGGAACUGCCUUUGAUACUGGGUAUCUCGAGUAUGGAAGAGGUGAGUGGAAUUCCGAGUGUAGAGGUGAAAUUCGUAGAUAUUCGGAGGAACACCAGUGGCGAAGGCGGCUCACUGGUCCAUUACUGACGCUGAGGUGCGAAAGCGUGGGGAGCAAACAGG
This 253-nucleotide ribosomal RNA is filed under the name uncultured bacterium. RNAcentral's name for it is "partial 16S ribosomal RNA". It matches the Rfam family "Bacterial small subunit ribosomal RNA", at positions 524 to 776 of the family's 1533-position model. The record is from RNAcentral.